Molecule: long non-coding RNA, 845 nt
Organism: Rhododendron vialii
Lineage: Eukaryota; Viridiplantae; Streptophyta; Magnoliopsida; Ericales; Ericaceae
Exons: 2
Source: RefSeq, a predicted model, not a curated record
UCUGUUUGUAUUGUUUCUAGUACUAAGAAGAUAUUAUGUGUUUUCAGUUUGGUUGACAGGUUGAGGAGGUAACUCCUCUGUCUUUUUAUCAGUUUAAUCUUGUCCAUUGUAUGCAGUAAGAAAAUAUGUUGGGUUAUAUACAACGCGAGGCUAGAUUAUCGAGAAACAUGUAUGCUCAAAACAAAUGGCUUGUUUCCUUUGCUGGAUAGGCAAGACACCGAAAUAGGCAUAAUGAAUUCGGUUAUGACUUUGUGCUGUGGGAAAUGAAGUUCAAAGUACACUCUGGGGUCAACUUCCGCUACCGCUUCAACGGAGGCUUUGAAAAGGAAAAUUCAAAAAAUUGAUGACAGUUUAGAAAUAAAGAGUGUGUGAUGCCGAAUCACGUCUUGAAGACUCAAACCUAUCUUCUUGAAUCAUGAAUACUGUCUCAGAACUCACAGUUCAAGAUUGGAGGCAAUGGUGUUCUUGUUUCUCCUCUGACCUACAAUUCUGAUGAAGAACCCCCUCGAUGGCACGAACUCCUUUCAGAGCGCGGCAUGUAGUCUUUUGGGAAUGCUGCCUUGGGUGGUUUUUGCAUUCUACAGCAUUAGCAUGUUGAAUAACUCCUGGAGCUUGUGUUAGAAGAGAAUUCAGCUCAAGAAGUUGCAACACUUACAUGUAUUUCGGCGCAUUGUACAAGUAUUUUUAUGUUCCAAAUUGACCUCCAUUAUACUUGCUUUCAAAUUUUCUUAGUUUAAAUCUACGAGCGUUUUUUCCUCUCCCUCACCGACCCUCUCUUGUUGUAAUCAUGACAGUUGGAAUCUAAUCAGUUUGUUCUGAAAUAAGCUGUCAUAGAUUGGACUCUC